This 253-nucleotide ribosomal RNA is filed under the name uncultured bacterium. Its description in RNAcentral is "partial 16S ribosomal RNA". It matches the Rfam family "Bacterial small subunit ribosomal RNA", at positions 524 to 776 of the family's 1533-position model. The record is from RNAcentral.
UACGUAGGGUGCGAGCGUUAAUCGGAAUUACUGGGCGUAAAGCGUGCGCAGGCGGCGCGUUAAGACAGGUGUGAAAGCCCCGAGCUUAAUUUGGGAAUUGCGUUUGUGACUGGCGUGCUGGAGUGUGGCAGAGGGAGGUGGAAUUCCACGUGUAGCAGUGAAAUGCGUAGAGAUCCGGAGGAACACCAGUGGCGAAGGCGACACGCUGGGCCGUACCUGACACUGAUGCGCGACAGCAUGGGGAGCAAACAGG